RNAcentral lists this transfer RNA (129 nucleotides) under Lachnospiraceae bacterium. Its description in RNAcentral is "tRNA-OTHER". It matches the Rfam family "tRNA". Rfam says of the family: Transfer RNA (tRNA) molecules are approximately 80 nucleotides in length. Their secondary structure includes four short double-helical elements and three loops (D, anti-codon, and T loops). The record is from RNAcentral. Lineage: Bacteria; Bacillati; Bacillota; Clostridia; Lachnospirales; Lachnospiraceae.
GGAAGGGUGGCCAAAUGGUAAAGGCGCAUAUCAGAUUAUAUUAAGUGGCUUGCCAAAGCCAUUUACAGCAAUUUAUUUUGAUAAUCAAGAGGGCAUAUGUAUUUGUGUGUUCAAAUCACACCCCUUCCG